AAAGAACAACAACAAAAAAACCAUGGGUUUCGCAAUACCGGCUAAUUCUAUCUGAAGAUGCAUCUUUCCAAUCUGGAUGAAUUUUUUUUCAAGAUUUAAAGGUUGCACCUGGUGCAAUAUUUCCCGGUGUCACGAAUGACAUUUACUCAACAUUCUGUUUAUGCAACGCCUAAGCAUUUUGAUGUUUGUUUUGCAUAUAAAUGCACCACAUAGGAGCUGCAGAUCAGAAUAACCACCACAAUGGAUUACUUGAAGCUCCUAUUUAUUUGGCUGAUCUUUCUCUUCGUGAUACAUGUCGUGGAUUCAAUGGGGUAUCCAUGGGGUCUCAAAUGGGGAUUGGACUAUGCAGGCAAAACCUGAAAUUUUGUGUCUCAGAUUUUUAAAAAAAAUUGGAAUAACAGCUUAAAGUGUUGUUCACAUUAGACGUCCUCUAAGUGAAUUUAUAGUUCAGAACAAUGGAAUGUCAUCGAGAAGUUGCAAACAGCCCAAAACAACGAGAAUAUGUAACAAACGAUUCCUCAUUCAAUUGUGAACAUACCUAUAAUGAAUGUAACAGGGAGUGCAUGUAUUGAUGCUUGUGAAUUUAAUCUUUCAAUAUUGAGCACAACACAAAAACAAUAAAUGUCAUUUUUAUCAGUGCGAAGGAUGCAAAUUAUGUGUCAGAUAUAUUAUGAAAGUAUAUGUAAUCUGCUUGUAUAAUGUAAUAAAAGUUAAUUGUCAUGUCAUGGGCAAAUGGUUUGUAGAUGUGUUAUAUUUCUCCGAGUUGGCAGAAUUUAAUUUUAUAUCAUAUUCUAUGACGAUAUGGAAAUUGAGAAUUUUAAUAUUGAAUACUGGUGUUAGAAGGGAGAGAUAUGCGUGGAAACUCUACAUGUUUAUUAAAGAAGAAAAACUG
Molecule: long non-coding RNA, 892 nt
Organism: Ostrea edulis (European flat oyster)
Lineage: Eukaryota; Metazoa; Mollusca; Bivalvia; Ostreida; Ostreidae
Exons: 2
Source: RefSeq, a predicted model, not a curated record